This 511-nucleotide ribosomal RNA is filed under the name uncultured soil bacterium. Its description in RNAcentral is "bacterial SSU rRNA". It matches the Rfam family "Bacterial small subunit ribosomal RNA", at positions 26 to 529 of the family's 1533-position model. The record is from RNAcentral.
AGGACGAACGCUGGCGGCGCGCUUAACACAUGCAAGUCGAGCGAGAACCAGUCCUUCGGGACUGGGGACAGCGGCGAACGGGUGAGUAACACGUGGGUAAUCUGCCCUCGAUUCUGGGAUAGCCCGGGGAAACCCGGAUUAAUACCGGAUAGCCUCUCGAGCUUACGAGCUCGUGAGAAAAGGUAGCUUCGGCCUCCGAUCGAGGAUGAGCCCGCGGCGGAUUAGCUUGUUGGUGGGGUAAUGGCCUACCAAGGCGACGAUCCGUAGCUGGUCUGAGAGGACGAUCAGCCACACUGGGACUGAGACACGGCCCAGACUCCUACGGGAGGCAGCAGUGGGGAAUCUUGCGCAAUGGGCGAAAGCCUGACGCAGCGACGCCGCGUGGGGGAAGAAGGCCUUCGGGUUGUAAACCUCUUUCAGCAGGACGAAGCCACUCGGUUAAUAGCCCAGAGGUGACGGUACUGCAGAAGAAGCCCGGCUAACGACGUGCCAGCGAGCCGCGUAACUCGUA